Oncorhynchus kisutch (coho salmon) is the source of this 1596-nucleotide long non-coding RNA. RefSeq lists it as uncharacterized. NCBI's taxonomy places the organism in Eukaryota, Metazoa, Chordata, Actinopteri, Salmoniformes, Salmonidae. The transcript is spliced from 4 exons. The record is from RefSeq and is a predicted model, not a curated record.
CACAACAAAAUGUGGAAUAAGUCAAAGUCGAUACCAUUACAGAGUCACAGAGUAUUGCUGAGACAGCUGAGUGUGAUGUUUACCUAUAGUGCAGGGCUACACAGGUAUUUAGAGUUUAAAAUGUUACAAGGAAAUGGAGCUGGAAAAUCUGUUAAGUCGCUUAAUCAUUGAUUAACCUUCCUGAACAUUCUAAAUCCCCCAAUUGUUUUUGCCCAGUGAAUGCUAAAAUGGACAUGGACACUAGCAAACUACACUGGGGACAUCAAGAAUAUAAUCUUCGACAGUAUCAGUUCAAGCACACACGCCCUGGUCCACUUCCUGCUCUGCCAGCAGAAAGCAGUGUUUGAGAGCAAACACGGGAAAGUCCCUACCAGUCACCAUCUCCACUGUAGUCUUCUACAUAAUCAGAAAUGAUAGACGAGAAGGUGAGUCGCACAGUUACGUGAUGUGAAUCUACAACAUCUUACCGACCACUCUGAGGAUGAUAGUUUAGGGACUAUUCCAAACUGGGUCUUUUUGGCAAUCACUCAUACAGUAGGACCACCAAUCAGUCUUCAGGUUAUUUUGGAGUCCAACCCACUGCCAGCAAUCAUCCAAAAAAUAGCGCCACCCGUCCUGCCGUGGCUGUCAGGAGGUCAUAGGCUGGACACACUGACAAUCACAAGCACCUAUGAGGAGCAGCUCUUAAUGGGCUUUCCUUUCAGCAGCAAAGGAAUCCUCUCCAGACACACUCCUCUGGUGCUGCCCAUGUAUAUGAAGGAGGUGCGUAUUGCACUGGCAGAGGGGUUGGAGACAAGAUAUCACCGUUUUCAAUUAGAGUUGAUUGAAAACGGUCACGAAUAAAUGGAGGGGAAGCCAAUCUACAUGUACAUGAGCCUGAAGAUCCAGGGUGAUGAAAUCAACCUCUACCAGCACCUUGACUUUGAGACAACGAGCCUCCUACUUUACAGAGAAAAGCAGCAAGACCCCCACCUCUACCCCCUAAACCACAAUAUUUACAAAUAGCUAGACACAAACUUCCACCCCUUUCUCCAUCAUUGGAGAACAAUUCCCAGUUCUACUCUGGCGGCUCAUGGCACCCACUCUUCUGCUCCUUAGCAGAGGUGCCCUCUAAUCUACGGGUCCUGAGUGUGGCACUGGUAUGCUCCAGCCUGCGACUGCUCAACUUGGGCUAGUGCUGCCAGGCCUUUGAGAGGGAGAAGAUUGAUGGGACGUGUUAAACACAGUGGAGCCCAGCAUGAUGAGGAAGACCCUGGGUAUGGAGUAUCUGCAUGUGGGCAAGCUGCUCUGCUUCCAACAUGGUUGGAGGCCCUUACUUGGGUCCUUUGGAGCUGAGCAGGUUGGGUAGUAACGGAUUACCUGUAAUGGGGAUAUGCAAUCAGAUUAUAAAAAUUACAGGGGCAAUCUGGGAACCAAAAGGCAAUAAAGCGGUCAUCCUGCCACUUUUUUGGUAACCAGCUGCAAUUUUUGGUAGCCAGCUGCAUACAUAAAAGGACAUUUUGGAAAAAUGUAUUGCAUAUUUGAUGUUAGGCUAAGUACCAUUUACAUUAGUAAUGGUUGAUGUGUCAUUCAAAAUAAAGGCUACUUUUGGAGUAA